This 429-nucleotide ribosomal RNA is filed under the name Bacteroidota bacterium. RNAcentral's name for it is "Bacteroidetes bacterium partial 16S ribosomal RNA". It matches the Rfam family "Bacterial small subunit ribosomal RNA", at positions 355 to 776 of the family's 1533-position model. The record is from RNAcentral. Lineage: Bacteria; Pseudomonadati; Bacteroidota.
UAGGGAAUCUUCGGCAAUGGGGGGAACCCUGACCGAGCAACGCCGCGUGAGUGAAGAAGGUUUUCGGAUCGUAAAGCUCUGUUGUUAAGGAAGAACGAGUGUGAGAAUGGAAAGUUCAUGCUGUGACGGUACUUAACCAGAAAGGGACGGCUAACUACGUGCCAGCAGCCGCGGUAAUACGUAGGUCCCGAGCGUUGUCCGGAUUUAUUGGGCGUAAAGCGAGCGCAGGCGUUUAGAAAAGUCUGAAGUGAAAGGGAUUGGAUCGACCAUUAUAGGCUUUGGAAACUGUUUAACUUGAGUGCAGAAGGGGAGAGUGGAAUUCCAUGUGUAGCGGUGAAAUGCGUAAAUAUAUGAAGGAACACCGGUGGCGAAAGCGGCUCUCAAGUAUGUAACUGACGCUGAGGCUCGAAAGCGUGGGGAGCGAACAGG